GUCAACCAGGCUCAUCAAAUCUCGAUCUGCUUCAUCUCUCAAAGGACGCCCCAGCCCCGAGAGGAGCCACCGCCGCCGCCGCCGGGGAACGAGAGGAGCCGCCGCCUCCAGGUCACCACUGCCCUCACCCUCGCAUCCAUACCUUCACCGUCGCCCUCGCGCUCGUGGAUCCCUGAAAUGCCGCCGAUCCGAGACGAGCCGCCGCCGCCGAGGAACGAGACGAGCCGCCGGCGCCGAGGAACGAGACGAGCUAGGGUUCCAUACACCGCCGCCGUCCCAACCACGAACGCCGACAUCGGCUGUAGCCGUCACGCCGCCAGCCAUCCAUGCCUCGUAGCCGUCGCAGCCGGUGCUUCCCCACCGAACGAGCGCCAAGGAGAAACACCGCUGUCUUUCUACAUGGUGGCCGCUCCCCUCGAUCCCCUCCAUCGCCUCUACCGCCGCCGAGGUACGAGAUCGCCUCCAUCUUGUUCCUUCCCUGGCCACGCCCCUCCCAAUUUCUUCCCCUCAUCCAACUAGGGUUCUCACCUGCCGCCGCUUCCCUGCUGCUACCCGCCACUGGAUGCCCUCCACGGACACCACCACCAUGAUGGCGGAAUGAAGAGCAAGAGGGGUCAUCGAGGAUGGGUGCCGUCGUGAGGUUGCUGGUGCCCAUGUGCGGUGAUGGCAUUGUGGCGGAAGAAGGUCUUCUUCCUGGGGAGCCGCUACCAGCCUCCGUCUCCACCCGCGGCCACGCUAAAAAGACAGAUCUCAACACUUGCUUGCUAAUGUGCAUGUGUGGAUGUUGCUGGCUGCUGCUGCUGUGCACGUCUGCUUGGUGUGCCCCUGCUGUUUUGUGUUCUCACCACCACAUCCACGACAAAUAAAAUUUCUUAGUUUUCUUAGAAUGGUUCAGGUUCGAUAUGUCAGGGCUGAAGUACGCUCCUGAGUUAAAGAAAGACCUCGAGAGACUCUGUAGUGUGUAUGCAGGAACUAAAGACAUGUAUUAGAGAAUGAACCAUCAAUCCUCUUCUUGCUUAUUGUUUGUCAAAUGCUAUAUUAAAGCACUAUAUCAAUUCCAUUGUUAUUUACACGAAGGGACGGAUUAGGACCUGUGGGAUCAUGGCUCUUUCAGCUUGAACAGUAUUUGUGAUGUAUCCUUCACUUACCGUGCCACGGGGUUAUCGCGGAUAUUGGUGGAGGACUUGGUGGACUAGCGCAAAAUGGAAAUCUAGAAAGAAGUGAAACUAAUCAGCUAUGGUUCUCCUGGAGUAUUUGUGCAACCAGAAGGCCGCCCAUGAUAAAUAUGAUGUUCUUUAUGCAUUUAAAAAACUACUAAAGGGAAAGUUGUGAAUGUUGUAUUGCAGAGCGUAUGCGUCAGAGGCCAGUCAGCAGAGGUGCAUGCAGGUUUGUGCUUGAGGGUGCACGCGAGCCGGCGGCUACAGGCAGAGGGUGCGGCCUGUGUGUGCGUGUUGUGGUCGCCUGAUUUGAUUGUAAAUCGUGUAGAGCAAAGGCGGCUUCUGUGGCGCCGGAGCAACAAUUUCAGUGAGCACAUGGACUUGAUGCAGGGAGGGUCGUCGAAGAGAAGGACGGCGGCCCGGCCUACACAUGAUGGAACACACAUUGCCGACGAUGCGGUACCAGGCCUGGAGAAGAGAUCCCGAGUUUCCAUUCUUCUGCAACGACAGGGAGUAUGUUAUCGGUCGCGGGGUCUAGGCAUCUAGAAAGACGUACUACUGCGCUAAUAAGGUAUCUGAUGAAAUAGUACAACUUUAUAUGUCAGGGUUCCUUUACGACAGGGAGUAUGUUAUCGGUCACGUGAUUGCUUUUACAGCCAUUUUCAGGGUUCCUUUACUACUGUACAUGAGAUGGAA
Triticum urartu is the source of this 1853-nucleotide non-coding RNA. The record is from RefSeq and is a predicted model, not a curated record. NCBI's taxonomy places the organism in Eukaryota, Viridiplantae, Streptophyta, Magnoliopsida, Poales, Poaceae.